Molecule: long non-coding RNA, 373 nt
Organism: Manacus vitellinus (golden-collared manakin)
Lineage: Eukaryota; Metazoa; Chordata; Aves; Passeriformes; Pipridae
Exons: 3
Source: RefSeq, a predicted model, not a curated record
CUGGUGCCACCAGUUACAUUUAUUAGUAUUAUCAGUGCCUGUGUGUUCUUGGUAACUUCUAAUGCUUUGAUGUCUUAUGGGGAACCAGGUCUUGAAGUUUCAUUAAAACUAACCCUGGUGCAAUUGGCCAAAACUGAACUCUGUUCCAGAAAACUGAGGUUUGGGGCCACUGGAAUCCUCACUGUAAUUCUAAGAGUUUAGCCCAGCCAAAGGUCUGGGACUUCAACAAAGCAGGGAUUACAGUCUACCAGAUGAAUCCCUCUUCCAAGGGAAAGCAUGGAAGCUGUGGCUUGACUGUGUUUUAUAGGGAAGGAGAAGCCACUUAACCCUCUCUUGGUGUUAGCAAAAUGGCCAUUGAAGUGGAAAUGUUUUA